AACGAACGCUGGCGGCAGGCCUAACACAUGCAAAUCGAGCGCGCCCUUCGGGGUGAGCGGCGGACGGGUGAGUAACGCGUGGGAACGUGCCCUUCUCUGCGGAAUAGCCUCGGGAAACUGAGAGUAAUACCGCAUACGCCCUUUGGGGGAAAGAUUUAUCGGAGGAGGAUCGGCCCGCGUUGGAUUAGGUAGUUGGUGGGGUAAUGGCUCACCAAGGCGACGAUCCAUAGCUGGUUUGAGAGGAUGAUCAGCCACACUGGGACUGAGACACGGCCCAGACUCCUACGGGAGGCAGCAGUGGGGAAUCUUAGACAAUGGGGGCAACCCUGAUCUAGCCAUGCCGCGUGAGUGAUGAAGGCCUUAGGGUUGUAAAGCUCUUUCAGCUGGGAAGAUAAUGACGGUACCAGCAGAAGAAGCCCCGGCUAACUCCGUGCCAGCCGCCGCGGUAA
This 449-nucleotide ribosomal RNA is filed under the name uncultured bacterium. RNAcentral's name for it is "partial 16S ribosomal RNA". It matches the Rfam family "Bacterial small subunit ribosomal RNA", at positions 29 to 523 of the family's 1533-position model. The record is from RNAcentral.